GACGAACGCUGGCGGCGUGCUUAACACAUGCAAGUCGAACGAUGAAACCUAGCUUGCUAGGUCGAUUAGUGGCGAACGGGUGAGUAACACGUGACUAACCUGCCCCUUUCUCUGGGAUAACGCUCCGAAAGGAGUGCUAAUACCGGAUACUCACACCGAGGCACAUGCCUUGGUGUGGAAAGUUUUUCGGAAAGGGAUGGAGUCGCGGCCUAUCAGCUUGUUGGUGAGGUAACGGCUCACCAAGGCGACGACGGGUAGCCGGCCUGGGAGGGCGACCGGCCACACUGGGACUGGGACACGGCCCAGACUCCUAAGGGAGGCAGCAGUGGGGAAUAUUGCACAAUGGGCGCAAGCCUGAUGCAGCGACGCCGCGUGAGGGAUGAAGGUCUUCGGAUUGUAAACCUCUUUCAGUAGGGACGAAGCGAAAGUGACGGUACCUAAAGAAGAAGCACCGGCUAACUACGUGCCAGCCGCCGCAGUAA
This 482-nucleotide ribosomal RNA is filed under the name uncultured bacterium. Its description in RNAcentral is "partial 16S ribosomal RNA". It matches the Rfam family "Bacterial small subunit ribosomal RNA", at positions 28 to 523 of the family's 1533-position model. The record is from RNAcentral.